Molecule: long non-coding RNA, 291 nt
Organism: Helianthus annuus (common sunflower)
Lineage: Eukaryota; Viridiplantae; Streptophyta; Magnoliopsida; Asterales; Asteraceae
Exons: 4
Source: RefSeq, a predicted model, not a curated record
CCAACAACUAUGUGGUCUGUAAUAGUGGUCGAGGCAAGUUCCAACAACCCGAGAUCUAGGUGUCGGUAAGGCGGCAACGUGAGAAGGAGGUCGCUGCUAUGACUCAUACAGUGGCAGGGGAUGAGGAUGAUUAUAGAUCUACUCCUUGGAAAGAUGAAGUAACCAGGACCACACGUGUUGAGGAAUUUUGUUUCAUCACAUAUACUACUUACACAAAAUCAGAGGUUCUGAAAAUGGAAAGUCAAGUUCUGAACAUUUUGAAUUUUCACCCUUCACCACCAACAUCAGAAG